GAUAAACGCUGGCGGCGUGCCUAACACAUGCAAGUGGAGCGACGAACCAGGCUUCGGCCUGGGGCAAAGCCGCGAACGGGUGAGUAACACGUGGGUAACCUGCCCCGAUGAUCGGAACAACCCGAGGAAACUCGGGCUAAUACCGAAUGUGCCCUCCUGCCAUAAGGCAGCUGGGGAAAGGAAGCUUCGGCCUCCGCAUCGGGAUGGGCCCGCGGCCCAUUAGCUUGUUGGUGAGGUAACGGCUCACCAAGGCAACGAUGGGUAGCUGGUCUGAGAG
RNAcentral lists this ribosomal RNA (277 nucleotides) under uncultured bacterium. RNAcentral describes it as "partial 16S ribosomal RNA". It matches the Rfam family "Bacterial small subunit ribosomal RNA", at positions 28 to 298 of the family's 1533-position model. The record is from RNAcentral.